RNAcentral lists this long non-coding RNA (359 nucleotides) under Vigna radiata. RNAcentral describes it as "long non-coding RNA (VRAD_LNC008506)". The record is from RNAcentral. Lineage: Eukaryota; Viridiplantae; Streptophyta; Magnoliopsida; Fabales; Fabaceae.
AGACAAAUUAAUUCAAGACUCUCCAAUUAGACAUUUUAAAAUUAAUUGCAUUGUAAUUUAGUUGUUUAAACUUUUUUGUUGACAAACUUUUGCACAAUGGGCCAUUGUUGGCAAAGUUAUGAUGGGCCCAACUAGUAGACACUUGUCACCGUAGGGUUUCCUUUUAUUUUAGGGUGGACCCCACCUAUUUUUAGGACACAUGAUCCUAGGGAAGCUACAGUCGCCACACACUUUUAUUUUAGGGACUAAGCUUGGAACAUUUUUUCCUCGGCACGUUGUUUUUGCUGGAACAUGUAUAUCUUCGGUGAUUAUGGUUGAAUGUGAGGAAGCAUGGUGGUUUAAUUUCUUUUCUUUGCUUU